AGAGUGAACGCUGGCGGUAGGCCUAACACAUGCAAGUCGAACGGCAGCACGGUAAGAGCUUGCUCUUAUGGGUGGCGAGUGGCGGACGGGUGAGGAAUACAUCGGAAUCUACCUUUUGGUGGGGGAUAACGUAGGGAAACUUACGCUAAUACCGCAUACGCCCUUCGGGGGAAAGCCGGGGACCAGCAAUGGCCUGGUGCUGAUAGAUGAGCCGAUGUCGGAUUAGCUUAGUUGGUGAAGGUAAUGGCUCAACCGAAGGCGACGAUCCGUAG
Molecule: ribosomal RNA, 272 nt
Filed under: uncultured soil bacterium
Lineage: Bacteria
Description: partial 16S ribosomal RNA
Rfam family: Bacterial small subunit ribosomal RNA
Source: RNAcentral